RNAcentral lists this ribosomal RNA (508 nucleotides) under Yamadazyma diddensiae. Its description in RNAcentral is "[Candida] diddensiae partial large subunit ribosomal RNA". It matches the Rfam family "Eukaryotic large subunit ribosomal RNA", at positions 83 to 648 of the family's 3401-position model. The record is from RNAcentral. Lineage: Eukaryota; Fungi; Ascomycota; Pichiomycetes; Serinales; Debaryomycetaceae.
GUAGCGGCGAGUGAGCGGCAAUAGCUCAAAUUUGAAAUCUGGCGUCUUCGGCGUCCGAGUUGUAAUUUGAAGAAGGUAUCUUUGAGGCUGGCUCUUGUCUAUGUUCCUUGGAACAGGACGUCACAGAGGGUGAGAAUCCCGUGCGAUGAGAUGCCCAGUUUCGUGUAAAGUUCCUUCGACGAGUCGAGUUGUUUGGGAAUGCAGCUCUAAGUGGGUGGUAAAUUCCAUCUAAAGCUAAAUAUUGGCGAGAGACCGAUAGCGAACAAGUACUGUGAAGGAAAGAUGAAAAGAACUUUGAAAAGAGAGUGAAAAAGUACGUGAAAUUGUUGAAAGGGAAGGGCUUGAGGUCAGACUUGGUUUACCAGGCCAGCAUCAGUUUGGGUGGCAGGAUAAUAGCUAAGGAAAGUGGCACGAUUUCGGUUGUGUGUUAUAGCCUUGGUUGAUACUGCCUGCCUAGACUGAGGACUGCGUCUUUGACUAGGAUGCUGGCAUAAUGACCUUAAGCCGC